CUUUCGGGCGGGGAUUAGUGGCGAACGGGUGAGUAAUAAAAGGGACAAUCUGCCCUGCACUCUGGGACAAGCCCUGGAAACGGGGUCUAAUACCGGAUAUGACCGUCUGCCGCAUGGUGGAUGGUGUAAAGCUCCGGCGGUGCAGGAUGAGCCCGCGGCCUAUCAGCUUGUUGGUGAGGUAGUGGCUCACCAAGGCGACGACGGGUAGCCGGCCUGAGAGGGCGACCGGCCACACUGGGACUGAGACACGGCCCAGACUCCUACGGGAGGCAGCAGUGGGGAAUAUUGCACAAUGGGCGAAAGCCUGAUGCAGCGACGCCGCGUGAGGGAUGACGGCCUUCGGGUUGUAAACCUCUUUCAGCAGGGAAGAAGCGAAAGUGACGGUACCUGCAGAAGAAGCGCCGGCUAACUACGUGCCAGCAGCCGCGGUAAUACGUAGGGCGCAAGCGUUGUCCGGAAUUAUUGGGCGUAAAGAGCUCGUAGGCGGCUUGUCACGUCGGUUGUGAAAGCCCGGGGCUUAACCCCGGGUCUGCAGUCGAUACGGGCAGGCUAGAGUUCGGUAGGGGAGAUCGGAAUUCCUGGUGUAGCGGUGAAAUGCGCAGAUAUCAGGAGGAACACCGGUGGCGAAGGCGGAUCUCUGGGCCGAUACUGACGCUGAGGAGCGAAAGCGUGGGGAGCGAAACAGGAUUAGAUACCCUGGUAGUCCACGCCGUAAACGGUGGGCACUAGGUGUGGGCAACAUUUCCACGUUGUCCGUGCCGCAGCUAACGCAUUAAGUGCCCCGCCUGGGGGAGUACGGCCGCAAGGCUAAAACUUCAAAGGAAUUUGACGGGGGGGCCCGCAACAAGCCGGGCGGAGCAUGUGGCUUAAUUCGACGCAACGCGAAGAACCUUACCAAGGCUUGACAUACACCGGAAACGUCUGGAGACAGGCGCCCCCUUGUGGUCGGUGUACAGGUGGUGCAUGGCUGUCGUCAGCUCGUGUCGUGAGAUGUUGGGUUAAGUCCCGCAACGAGCGCAACCCUUGUCCCGUGUUGCCAGCAGGCCCUUGUGGUGCUGGGGACUCACGGGAGACCGCCGGGGUCAACUCGGAGGAAGGUGGGGACGACGUCAAGUCAUCAUGCCCCUUAUGUCUUGGGCUGCACACGUGCUACAAUGGCCGGUACAAUGAGCUGCGAUACCGUGAGGUGGAGCGAAUCUCAAAAAGCCGGUCUCAGUUCGGAUUGGGGUCUGCAACUCGACCCCAUGAAGUCGGAGUCGCUAGUAAUCGCAGAUCAGCAUUGCUGCGGUGAAUACGUUCCCGGGCCUUGUACACACCGCCC
RNAcentral lists this ribosomal RNA (1321 nucleotides) under Streptomyces sp. 06CM004. RNAcentral's name for it is "bacterial SSU rRNA". It matches the Rfam family "Bacterial small subunit ribosomal RNA", at positions 78 to 1395 of the family's 1533-position model. The record is from RNAcentral. Lineage: Bacteria; Bacillati; Actinomycetota; Actinomycetes; Kitasatosporales; Streptomycetaceae.